ACAAAACACACAACAAGAUUGGAAAAGCAAGAAAAAGGCUUUCUAACCCGCCAUGGAAAUCAUCAAGAGGAACCUAACGAGGGCUGCAUGCUUGGCGGUUCUUGUGGCCAUGGCAACAAUCUUAUUGUCCACUUCAACUGCACAAGCAGAUCAGUGCAUGCUGGCGCCGGAAUGCUCGGGUCCCUACCCAGAGGUGGUAUGCCCCGAGCUAUGCGCUCGUUAUGGCUUCAACAAAGAUGGAUACUGCAAAGAAUCACAAUACUGCUGUUGUCGCGGUGCCAAAUUAGCCCAUCCAGUCCUCGUGAAUCCUAGUGUAAAACCAUAGGAGGGAAACUCUAGAUGCUGAUGCGCCACAGUAUGUACCCGCGAGGAGAUGAAAUUUGAUAUAAAUAAGUUUUUAUCAGUU
Aegilops tauschii subsp. strangulata is the source of this 406-nucleotide long non-coding RNA. RefSeq lists it as uncharacterized. The record is from RefSeq and is a predicted model, not a curated record. Lineage: Eukaryota; Viridiplantae; Streptophyta; Magnoliopsida; Poales; Poaceae.